GGUUGGGCAGAGCUACUUGGUAAGGCUGCAGGGACUGCUACGCCCUAUACGAACCGAGAAUGCCGGUAGUGGCGACGAUCUUGGCAGCCUCGAGAAUGUUUCUCAGGGUUCUUCGAAUGAGGGGGUGAUGCCAUUUGUCGUGGUUGAGCAACCUCCUAUGCGCUGAUGGUUGGGAAAAAUGUACAGUAAUUUUGUUUAGGUGGAUGGAUGUGAUAUCUUUGUAA
RNAcentral lists this unclassified non-coding RNA (224 nucleotides) under Hevea brasiliensis (rubber tree). Lineage: Eukaryota; Viridiplantae; Streptophyta; Magnoliopsida; Malpighiales; Euphorbiaceae. The record is from RNAcentral.